AGGCGACGUUGACAGUGGCCAAGUCUCUUUCGACACCGCACAAGUUGAUGCCACGCUGGAAGAGGAUGUAUCCGGCGUCACCAAACCCAGGCCCCCAAGAAUUACGAAUAAUCUACACAAAGCUGCUGAAAUCCAAAAGAAAUGAAUUAUUACCCAAUAAUCCGUGCCGUCAUCAGAGGUGCCGUAGCCCACGGCAGCGAUGGCGUGAAGACCUUCAUUGCCUUCGCAGGGAGUGGUGUACACGCCGGAUCUAGUCGAAACAGCCCCCGAAAAUAAUGAUUCAGCAAUUUGUUUGGAAUUUAUUAAUCUUUUCAACACCAACGGUACCUGUAGCUCAUGAAUUUGUCGGUAACUCCGAUGCAAACGGCGACGACCUUCCUCCUGGCCAGCAACCUCAUUACGCCAUUUUCGUCUCCUUGUUGCAGAACGAUGAUGGGAUUGGUGGCAGCUAGUUGAGCUCCUUUCCUCCUAUUCUUGCAGGUGGGUCCUCUCACUUUCGUUUCACCCGACACGUAAGGGUAGUAAGCGGAGUAAGCCUGGCCGCCGGCCGUGAUGAGGGAGUUCCAAUACUCGUGAUAGGAUCCACCUCCGCAUUCCCUAUCGGGAAAGUCGCAAUCGACGAUUUGCUGCUCACUGUUCACGGGAAAAGAAAUUAGCUAAAUCAAUUGGAAAAUUAUCUUGUCCAAGUUAUAUAUACCUGAGAUUGACCGGCCUUCCUGAUUUCAUACACUGGGCAAAUUCAACGGCCGCGGUGGCUGCGAAGGCGGAACAGCUUCCACACGCACCUUGAUUUUUAACGGGUUGCAUGCAUCGGUGAUCACGCACAUCAAACUUACGGAGCUGGGCAGAUAUCGGAGAGUGAGAUCAUCGUCUUCCUCGACCAGUCCAGUUUCAAAUCCCAAUUCUUGGUAAAGAGAUUUGGUCGAAGCGAGAGUGUUGUUUAGUAAGUACUUUUUACGUUCCUCGACGUCCUAUGAAUUUGCAUUGCAAAUUUACAUAUGACCAAAAUGACAAAUGAGAAAUUCUAAUACCAAAACAGAGAAUUCGUUGUGUCCCAUUUGAUAGGUGGAUUUAGGAUCGGCGUUGUGUUCUUCGAUGAUGCUGUGGAUCCUCUCGAAAUUGGAUUUGGACUUUCCAUACUCAGCUUUGGUUUUGAUUCCCAACGGGCUAUAAAUUUUUACCAGAUAUUGUUGCCAAGCGUCUUCCACGUCGGCACGGGUCUGAAUAACCCCACAGACAACUACCAGCAAGGCGACAAGGAAGAUAAAUUUCGACAUUCUACAUAAAUUUAACAAAUCACCGAUAAACCUAUUAUAUUUUACAGUAUGCGAAAAGGGACUUACCUCCAGACCGAGAAGAGCAGAAUAGGCAGAUGAGUCCGAUACCGGCGAUUUUUAUAGGUCCGAUUAUUGAUUCAAUGCAAACAGGUGUCCAUCUGUCACCAAUUUCCGAUUUGGUGUACGUGGCUUUAUAUAUAUGGCAUUCACGAAAUCCUUUAUUUUACACCUACGUAGCCUACCUUAUUUUACACGCUAUGCAGACCGCAUCUGUCAGCAGCUACAAAUAAUGAUCCCGCGAUUAAUAUUGAUACAGCCCUUAUCAAUGUCCUUCCAAAAUAGUCAGCUGUUUCGCCAUAGCGCACUUCAAAUAACUUUCCGAAUUAGUCCAAUGACUUAUCAGAGGUUAAGCUUGAUCAUCAAUUUAAUUCUAAUUAAAAUUUUGAAAAGACUGUGUAUAAACAGCGAAGCCAAUUUAAACAAAAAGCCGAAGGACAUGGGCGUUGCGUUCUCAGUGACCCGUGAAGGAGAGAAAACGAAGGUCCAUUCCAGGAUUCUUUACAAUUGGACGAAUGACAAUAAAUAUGUAAGACUCUCGACAACGCCAAAAAAUGAAAAACAACUUUGCAACUGAAAACGAGAAAAAACAAUCGCGCUGAUUUUUGAUUGAUUAAUUAUUGCAGCUCUGUACAUGGCACGAAUGAGUUAUGAUAAUGUGAAAUGCCGAGUGCAUAUUAUAUCUUUCGAAAUCAAACACAUUUGAAAGUUUAUUCAGCGUCUAGUGAUUUGACAAUACUUUCUAUAAGAAGUCUUGAAUGACAGUUUGGAUUACGUGCCAUAAAACAAGGCCAUAUCGUCACCCCUGUUACUUUUCCGAUAGAGGGUAGCAUAUAGCUUUACAGUUAUCAAACAACCUGUUCUCCGGUACAAAGUAAGAAAAAACGAACCUGUACUGUAUCAAUUUUUUUUUUUUCUAAAUCAACAUUUCACAAACUGACUGGCGAUUGCGCUCUGAUGUCGUAUUUUCUAUGAUUUCCCAUUGCGCGUCUGUGUUAAUAAAUACUGAAAAAUGAUUUUUUGUUUUUUCAGCCGAGCUGCAAUCAGUUUUUCCUGGCCGUGGGCGACAGUUAAUAUCCGGUUGUAACUGUGUAUAUAGAACUGGUUUUCUUCUGGGCGUGGCCUUUUUUUAGUCUGUUAUUUUACCCUUUAACGGCGCAUCAUUUAAAAUGUGAAGGUUUAAGUUAAUGCCUCUUUCCAACAUAAUGUUAUCUGAAAGUAUCAAAUUUUUUUUUAAAUAUUUCUAAAUUGAAUUUCGCAAAUUUUUGAAUAAAUCGAUAAACAUUAAAAACUA
Molecule: long non-coding RNA, 2628 nt
Organism: Daphnia pulex (common water flea)
Lineage: Eukaryota; Metazoa; Arthropoda; Branchiopoda; Diplostraca; Daphniidae
Exons: 4
Source: RefSeq, a predicted model, not a curated record